This 721-nucleotide long non-coding RNA is filed under the name Zostera marina. RNAcentral describes it as "long non-coding RNA (ZMAR_LNC000886)". The record is from RNAcentral. Lineage: Eukaryota; Viridiplantae; Streptophyta; Magnoliopsida; Alismatales; Zosteraceae.
UCAUCCUAUAUUAUUUAUAAUCCAAAAAUAAUUAUAAUUUUUUUAUUAAGGUAAAUUUAUAUUAAAAAAUAUAUGAGAUAAAUACCUUAAAAUAUUAUAUAUUAUAUAUCUAGAGAUCGAUAAUAUAUUUCUAAUAGAUAAUAUAUAUUAUUAUUUUAGAGAUAAUAUAUUUUUUAUAGAUAAUAUAUUUGUUAAAUAAUUAUUAUUAUAUUUAUAAAAUAAUUAAAUUUUAUAAAAACUAAUUUUUAAACAAUAAAAAUUUUCUCACUUUAAAAUAAUUAAUUUAAAAAUUAAAUUUCAAUAUUUCCACUUUUCCCACUUCUUUUCUACUUUUCCCACUUCUUUUCUAAUUUUCACUUCUAACUACUCUUAAAAAAAAAAACUUCUCCAAAUUCCAACUUCCGACAUCUCUUCCGACUUUCGGACGACCUCAACUUCCUCCCUCCAACAAGGUAAACUCUUCCCCAUCUUAUUCCGAUUCUAGUACCGGCGAGUUCGACCUCGCCAGGGGGUGCUGGGCGGGCGAGUUCGACCUCGCCAGUGGGUGCUGGGUGAGUUCCCAGAACCCAUGCGUCGUCCUAUGGACGAUGCAAUAUCAAAUGCGUCGUCCAUAGGACGACGCAAUCCUCUUCCUGGAAUCACCGACAAGGUCGAUUCGACCUCGCCGGUGGGUGCUGGGCGAGUUCCCAGCACCCAUGCGUCGUCCAUAGGACGACACAAU